AUCAUUCACAAUGGGGGAAACCCUGAUGGUGCGACGCCGCGUGGGGGAAUGAAGUAUCUCGGUAUGUAAAGCUCUAUCAGCAGGGAAGAAGAUGACGGUACCUGACUAAGAAGCACCGGCUAAAUACGUGCCAGCAGCCGCGGUAAUACGUAUGGUGCAAGCGUUAUCCGGAUUUACUGGGUGUAAAGGGAGCGUAGACGGAGAAGCAAGUCUGGAGUGAAAGCCCGGGGCUCAACCCCGGGACUGCUUUGGAAACUGUUUUUCUUGAGUGCCGGAGAGGUAAGCGGAAUUCCUAGUGUAGCGGUGAAAUGCGUAGAUAUUAGGAGGAACACCAGUGGCGAAGGCGGCUUACUGGACGGUAACUGACGUUGAGGCUCGAAAGCGUGGGGAGCAAACA
RNAcentral lists this ribosomal RNA (397 nucleotides) under uncultured bacterium. RNAcentral describes it as "bacterial SSU rRNA". It matches the Rfam family "Bacterial small subunit ribosomal RNA", at positions 361 to 774 of the family's 1533-position model. The record is from RNAcentral.